RNAcentral lists this ribosomal RNA (253 nucleotides) under uncultured bacterium. RNAcentral's name for it is "partial 16S ribosomal RNA". It matches the Rfam family "Bacterial small subunit ribosomal RNA", at positions 524 to 776 of the family's 1533-position model. The record is from RNAcentral.
UACGUAGGUGGCAAGCGUUGUCCGGAUUUACUGGGCGUAAAGAGCGCGCAGGCGGUCGUCCAAGUCGCGUGUGAAAGCCCCCGGCUCAACUGGGGAGGGUCACGCGAUACUGGUCGACUCGAAGGCAGGAGAGGGUAGUGGAAUUCCCGGUGUAGUGGUGAAAUGCGUGGAUAUCGGGAGGAACACCAGUGGCGAAGGCGACUACCUGGCCUGUUCUUGACGCUGAGGCGCGAAAGCUAGGGGAGCAAACGGG